This 17-nucleotide ribosomal RNA is filed under the name Globodera rostochiensis. Its description in RNAcentral is "partial 28S ribosomal RNA". Lineage: Eukaryota; Metazoa; Nematoda; Chromadorea; Rhabditida; Heteroderidae. The record is from RNAcentral.
UCGACCUGAACUCAGAC